This 394-nucleotide ribosomal RNA is filed under the name Dietzia sp. 2-2/G11. RNAcentral's name for it is "bacterial SSU rRNA". It matches the Rfam family "Bacterial small subunit ribosomal RNA", at positions 505 to 897 of the family's 1533-position model. The record is from RNAcentral. Lineage: Bacteria; Bacillati; Actinomycetota; Actinomycetes; Mycobacteriales; Dietziaceae.
GUGCCAGCAGCCGCGGUAAUACGUAGGGUGCGAGCGUUGUCCGGAGUUACUGGGCGUAAAGAGCUCGUAGGCGGUUUGUCACGUCGUCUGUGAAAUCCCUCGGCUUAACCGGGGGCGUGCAGGCGAUACGGGCAGACCUGAGUACUACAGGGGAGACUGGAAUUCCUGGUGUAGCGGUGAAAUACGCAGAUAUCAGGAGGAACACCGGUGGCGAAGGCGGGUCUCUGGGUAGUAACUGACGCUGAGGAGCGAAAGCAUGGGCAGCGAACAGGAUUAGAUACCCUGGUAGUCCAUGCCGUAAACGGCGGGCGCUAGGUGUGGGGUCCUUCCACGGACUCCGUGCCGUAGCUAACGCAUUAAGCGCCCCGCCUGGGGAGUACGGCCGCAAGGCUAA